Lolium rigidum is the source of this 804-nucleotide long non-coding RNA. RefSeq lists it as uncharacterized. The record is from RefSeq and is a predicted model, not a curated record. The transcript has 5 exons. NCBI's taxonomy places the organism in Eukaryota, Viridiplantae, Streptophyta, Magnoliopsida, Poales, Poaceae.
GAAUUGACCCUACGAAGAUGGCACAUGAGGAGCAGCUUUGUUCAUAGAUGAACAGUACUGAUCAUGCUUUGUGGCUUAUGGACUUCAGGAUAAACACAUGAAAAGCUCAGACAUGAUUCUGCAGGCUGCAAAUUGUGUCGGUGGCAUUCAGUAAGCUCGCCAAGUUAUUCAGAACUCAAUUCUUAGAUGUUAGUUGUGUCGUCCUUCUCUGUGGGUUUGCACGCUAUUUACGCCCAUGAGCAGAAUCGACAUCAGGGAUCUCCAUACAUCCAUAUGCUCUUCGUCAGCCAGAGCCCUUUCAAUUGCCAAUUGCCAUGGUCUGCUGAAUUGAUUCAUUUGUUGAAAGAUCCAGUUCUUCUUAACUUACCUUUUAUUCCAUGUCGCCUCCUCCCACCAGCUAGAGAAAUCCACCAUAUAUGGAGAGUAUGGAGCACACGAAGCUAUGGAGAAACCAAAUGCUACUGCAAUUUCUUGGGCUAGCUUGCCUCCUGAAAACUGAAUUGCCUUGAGAUUUGAUUGAAAGAUUUGCCUUUCCCGAUGGUCUUUGGUUGGUUAUUCAGUACUCUUGGAUUUUAUAGUGAUGUUGCCACAACAAAAACAUUAGAUUUCUAUAGUGAACUGCGACAUACUCACAGUCCAGCUGAGAAAUUGAUAUUUAUUUUGUACCUGUGAAUACACGUAUUGUAGCUAUUUGAUUUUGAGUAGUUCGGCUAGAUGGAACGGUGGGUUUUCAUUGUUGUAGUAGAUAUUUGAGUUUGAGUAUGCAGUCCCGCUGAUGGGCAAGCAGACUCUUGCUGCGCCAGC